RNAcentral lists this ribosomal RNA (252 nucleotides) under uncultured bacterium. RNAcentral's name for it is "partial 16S ribosomal RNA". It matches the Rfam family "Bacterial small subunit ribosomal RNA", at positions 524 to 776 of the family's 1533-position model. The record is from RNAcentral.
UACAGAGGGUGCAAGCGUUGUUCGGAAUUAUUGGGCGUAAAGGGCGCGUAGGCGGCUUUUAAGUUUGGUGUGAAAUCUCCCGGCUCAACUGGGAGGGUGCGCCGAAUACUGAGAGGCUAGAGUGUGGGAGAGGAAAGUGGAAUUCCUGGUGUAGCGGUGAAAUGCGUAGAUAUCAGGAGGAACACCGGUGGUGUAAACGGCUUUCUGGACCAUAACUGACGCUGAGGCACGAAAGCGUGGGUAGCAAACAGG